Molecule: unclassified non-coding RNA, 253 nt
Filed under: uncultured Sphingobacteriales bacterium
Lineage: Bacteria; Pseudomonadati; Bacteroidota; Sphingobacteriia; Sphingobacteriales
Description: contains 16S-23S intergenic spacer region
Rfam family: Bacterial small subunit ribosomal RNA
Source: RNAcentral
GACGAAGGAUGCAAGCGUUAUCCGGAUUCAUUGGGUUUAAAGGGAGCGUAGGUGGUCUUCUAAGUCAGUGGUGAAAUCUCUCGGCUUAACCGAGAAAUUGCCAUUGAUACUGGGAGACUUGAGUAUAGUUGCCGUUGGCGGAAUAUGACAUGUAGUGGUGAAAUACAUAGAGAUGUCAUAGAACACCGAUUGCGAAGGCAGCUAACGAAACUAUAACUGACACUGAGGCUCGAAAGUGCGGGGAUCAAACAGG